UAACUGAUCAAGGAAGCAGUAUAAAUUGAGCAUAUCCCAUAUGCAUGUCGUUGUUUAUUGGUAUAAUUGUUGGUAUAUAUCACUCAGUAUAAUUAAGACACAUUAAAAACAUUUUUUUCUCUUUCUUUUCUUGGACUUGGAGCAAAUAUCCAGUAUGCCAAAUUAUAUUGAGACCGGGAUGUCUGAUAUAAUUGUAAGAAGUGGAGAGGUAGACCAGUUCUGAGAUUCAUAAUCCAGACUCUGCACUGGAUGAGGACUGAUGCUUCUUGUGUGACCUCCCAAGUAUUUAUUUAUGUAACACCUAUUGAAUGAAGAUGUGUGAAGAUGGAUAUUUGAAAGUAGUGCAUUUCACUCAUUCAUGUGGAGUCUUCAAGCCGAAUGAAGAAGGAGGAUAUUUUUCACCUGGAUUAAAGUUAUUUAACUAUUCAAUAACAGUUUUAAGCUGUCUUGUGACCA
This is a long non-coding RNA of Pan paniscus (pygmy chimpanzee), 456 nucleotides long. The record is from Ensembl. Lineage: Eukaryota; Metazoa; Chordata; Mammalia; Primates; Hominidae.